GGAACCGUGGUGUAGGGGGAAGCGUGGUUGCCUCUCACCCAAUCAGCUUGGGUUCGAUCCCAGACGGUCCCA
This is a transfer RNA of Culex pipiens (northern house mosquito), 72 nucleotides long. It matches the Rfam family "tRNA". From Rfam's summary of the family: Transfer RNA (tRNA) molecules are approximately 80 nucleotides in length. Their secondary structure includes four short double-helical elements and three loops (D, anti-codon, and T loops). NCBI's taxonomy places the organism in Eukaryota, Metazoa, Arthropoda, Insecta, Diptera, Culicidae. The record is from Rfam.